Molecule: long non-coding RNA, 273 nt
Organism: Sander lucioperca (pikeperch)
Lineage: Eukaryota; Metazoa; Chordata; Actinopteri; Perciformes; Percidae
Exons: 2
Source: RefSeq, a predicted model, not a curated record
GUGGGCUUGGACGGUUGACAGUGAUAUUGGUUACACCAAAUAGGCUGAUAGCCAGCCUGACAAUGCUGGUCUCAGAGAGUCCUGCACUGAGAUGAACUACUGGGACUGGGGACUCUGGAACAAAGCGUACUGUUAUGACAAGAAGCCCUUCGUGUGUGAAGUGAAAGUCUAGCAGUUCAGAGAGAACCUGAAGAGCAGCAGUUGGACCAGUCUGCUUCAACUGUAACCACUGCAAGCUUUUACAUUUACUGCAAUAAAUAUUCAGCAUCAGAA